RNAcentral lists this transfer RNA (76 nucleotides) under Candidatus Merdivicinus excrementipullorum. Its description in RNAcentral is "tRNA-Asn". It matches the Rfam family "tRNA". Rfam says of the family: Transfer RNA (tRNA) molecules are approximately 80 nucleotides in length. Their secondary structure includes four short double-helical elements and three loops (D, anti-codon, and T loops). Further hydrogen bonds mediate the characteristic L-shaped molecular structure. tRNAs have two regions of fundamental functional importance: the anti-codon, which is responsible for specific mRNA codon recognition, and the 3' end, to which the tRNAs corresponding amino acid is attached (by aminoacyl-tRNA synthetases). tRNAs cope with the degeneracy of the genetic code in two manners: having more than one tRNA (with a specific anti-codon) for a particular amino acid; and 'wobble' base-pairing, i.e. permitting non-standard base-pairing at the 3rd anti-codon position. RNAcentral also lists the same sequence under 3 other names. The record is from RNAcentral. Lineage: Bacteria; Bacillati; Bacillota; Clostridia; Eubacteriales; Oscillospiraceae.
UGCUCCUUAGCUCAGUCGGUAGAGCACGCGGCUGUUAACCGCGGUGUCGUCAGUUCGAGCCUGACAGGAGCAGCCA